ACCGGCAAACGGGUGCGGAACACGUACACAACCUUCCUUUAAGUGGGGAAUAGCCCAGAGAAAUUUGGAUUAAUACCCCGUAAUAUAUAGAAGUGGCAUCACUUUUAUCUUAUAGCUCCGGCGCUUAAUGAUGGGUGUGCGGCUGAUUAGAUAGUUGGCGGGGUAACGGCCCACCAAGUCUGCGAUCAGUAACUGGUGUGAGAGCACGACCAGUCACACGGGCACUGAGACACGGGCCCGACUCCUACGGGAGGCAGCAGUAAGGAAUAUUGGUCAAUGGACGCAAGUCUGAACCAGCCAUGCCGCGUGGAGGAUGAAGGCCCUCUGGGUUGUAAACUUCUUUUAUCUAGGACGAAAAAGGGACUUUCUAGUUCAACUGACGGUACCAGAGGAAUAAGCACCGGCUAACUCCGUGCCAGCAGCCGCGGUAAUACGGAGGGUGCAAGCGUUAUCCGGAUUCACUGGGUUUAAAGGGUGCGUAGGUGGGCAGGUAAGUCAGUGGUGAAAUCUUUGGGCUUAACCCGAAAACUGCCAUUGA
Molecule: ribosomal RNA, 538 nt
Filed under: uncultured bacterium
Lineage: Bacteria
Description: bacterial SSU rRNA
Rfam family: Bacterial small subunit ribosomal RNA
Source: RNAcentral